UCCUUGAUUCAAGCACACAAA
This 21-nucleotide non-coding RNA is filed under the name Caenorhabditis elegans. Lineage: Eukaryota; Metazoa; Nematoda; Chromadorea; Rhabditida; Rhabditidae. The record is from RNAcentral.